This 2085-nucleotide ribosomal RNA is filed under the name Escherichia coli. RNAcentral's name for it is "bacterial LSU rRNA". It matches the Rfam family "Bacterial large subunit ribosomal RNA", at positions 591 to 2661 of the family's 2925-position model. Lineage: Bacteria; Pseudomonadati; Pseudomonadota; Gammaproteobacteria; Enterobacterales; Enterobacteriaceae. The record is from RNAcentral.
GUGUGACUGCGUACCUUUUGUAUAAUGGGUCAGCGACUUAUAUUCUGUAGCAAGGUUAACCGAAUAGGGGAGCCGAAGGGAAACCGAGUCUUAACUGGGCGUUAAGUUGCAGGGUAUAGACCCGAAACCCGGUGAUCUAGCCAUGGGCAGGUUGAAGGUUGGGUAACACUAACUGGAGGACCGAACCGACUAAUGUUGAAAAAUUAGCGGAUGACUUGUGGCUGGGGGUGAAAGGCCAAUCAAACCGGGAGAUAGCUGGUUCUCCCCGAAAGCUAUUUAGGUAGCGCCUCGUGAAUUCAUCUCCGGGGGUAGAGCACUGUUUCGGCAAGGGGGUCAUCCCGACUUACCAACCCGAUGCAAACUGCGAAUACCGGAGAAUGUUAUCACGGGAGACACACGGCGGGUGCUAACGUCCGUCGUGAAGAGGGAAACAACCCAGACCGCCAGCUAAGGUCCCAAAGUCAUGGUUAAGUGGGAAACGAUGUGGGAAGGCCCAGACAGCCAGGAUGUUGGCUUAGAAGCAGCCAUCAUUUAAAGAAAGCGUAAUAGCUCACUGGUCGAGUCGGCCUGCGCGGAAGAUGUAACGGGGCUAAACCAUGCACCGAAGCUGCGGCAGCGACGCUUAUGCGUUGUUGGGUAGGGGAGCGUUCUGUAAGCCUGUGAAGGUGUACUGUGAGGUAUGCUGGAGGUAUCAGAAGUGCGAAUGCUGACAUAAGUAACGAUAAAGCGGGUGAAAAGCCCGCUCGCCGGAAGACCAAGGGUUCCUGUCCAACGUUAAUCGGGGCAGGGUGAGUCGACCCCUAAGGCGAGGCCGAAAGGCGUAGUCGAUGGGAAACAGGUUAAUAUUCCUGUACUUGGUGUUACUGCGAAGGGGGGACGGAGAAGGCUAUGUUGGCCGGGCGACGGUUGUCCCGGUUUAAGCGUGUAGGCUGGUUUUCCAGGCAAAUCCGGAAAAUCAAGGCUGAGGCGUGAUGACGAGGCACUACGGUGCUGAAGCAACAAAUGCCCUGCUUCCAGGAAAAGCCUCUAAGCAUCAGGUAACAUCAAAUCGUACCCCAAACCGACACAGGUGGUCAGGUAGAGAAUACCAAGGCGCUUGAGAGAACUCGGGUGAAGGAACUAGGCAAAAUGGUGCCGUAACUUCGGGAGAAGGCACGCUGAUAUGUAGGUGAAGUCCCUCGCGGAUGGAGCUGAAAUCAGUCGAAGAUACCAGCUGGCUGCAACUGUUUAUUAAAAACACAGCACUGUGCAAACACGAAAGUGGACGUAUACGGUGUGACGCCUGCCCGGUGCCGGAAGGUUAAUUGAUGGGGUUAGCGCAAGCGAAGCUCUUGAUCGAAGCCCCGGUAAACGGCGGCCGUAACUAUAACGGUCCUAAGGUAGCGAAAUUCCUUGUCGGGUAAGUUCCGACCUGCACGAAUGGCGUAAUGAUGGCCAGGCUGUCUCCACCCGAGACUCAGUGAAAUUGAACUCGCUGUGAAGAUGCAGUGUACCCGCGGCAAGACGGAAAGACCCCGUGAACCUUUACUAUAGCUUGACACUGAACAUUGAGCCUUGAUGUGUAGGAUAGGUGGGAGGCUUUGAAGUGUGGACGCCAGUCUGCAUGGAGCCGACCUUGAAAUACCACCCUUUAAUGUUUGAUGUUCUAACGUUGACCCGUAAUCCGGGUUGCGGACAGUGUCUGGUGGGUAGUUUGACUGGGGCGGUCUCCUCCUAAAGAGUAACGGAGGAGCACGAAGGUUGGCUAAUCCUGGUCGGACAUCAGGAGGUUAGUGCAAUGGCAUAAGCCAGCUUGACUGCGAGCGUGACGGCGCGAGCAGGUGCGAAAGCAGGUCAUAGUGAUCCGGUGGUUCUGAAUGGAAGGGCCAUCGCUCAACGGAUAAAAGGUACUCCGGGGAUAACAGGCUGAUACCGCCCAAGAGUUCAUAUCGACGGCGGUGUUUGGCACCUCGAUGUCGGCUCAUCACAUCCUGGGGCUGAAGUAGGUCCCAAGGGUAUGGCUGUUCGCCAUUUAAAGUGGUACGCGAGCUGGGUUUAGAACGUCGUGAGACAGUUCGGUCCCUAUCUGCCGUGGGCGCUGGAGAA